RNAcentral lists this long non-coding RNA (299 nucleotides) under Oryza brachyantha (malo sina). Its description in RNAcentral is "long non-coding RNA (OBRA_LNC003319)". Lineage: Eukaryota; Viridiplantae; Streptophyta; Magnoliopsida; Poales; Poaceae. The record is from RNAcentral.
ACAUUCCCCUAUAUUUUACCCUUAGUUAGACACCAGUUAAUUGUCUAUCUUGAUACACAAAAUAAGAGGAGAAUGACCUAGAAGAAGAGAUCGAAGUGUUACACAAGAUUGAACUAAUUGGGUACGCCCAAAGUUAAUCAACAUCGCAGCUUAACUAGUGGCUAAUGACACAUGAAUUUGGUCACUCAUCGUCGUGAAAUCAACCCUAAUCAUUUCCCGCAGUCGUCACCAUCACAUCCAGACACCGACAUCGCCGCCGUUGUCAUUCCCUCACGAGGACACGGUUGAAUAGCACAGCA